GCCCGAAGCCCUUGGGUUGAGGGCACGUCUGCCUGGGUGUCACGCAAUGUUUGCCCAAACCCAAAUUGCAAUGGGAUUUGGGCGGAUGUUGGUCUCCCGUGAGCCCUCUGCUUGCGGUUGGCCCAAAAAUGAGCCCUGUUGAUGUUCUACACGGCAAUCGGUGGUGUAAAGACCCUCGGACAAAGUCGUGUGCUCUCGUCACAUCGGCAUUAAUGGCCCCAAUGCAAUCAUUGCAUGAUAUCAAAGCGACCCCAGGUCAGGCGAGACUACCCGCUGAGUUUAAGCAUAUCAAUAAGCGGAGGAAAAGAAACUUACCAGGAUUCCCUUAGUAACGGCGAGCGAACCGGGAAAAGCCC
Molecule: ribosomal RNA, 356 nt
Filed under: Garcinia sp. BB0935
Lineage: Eukaryota; Viridiplantae; Streptophyta; Magnoliopsida; Malpighiales; Clusiaceae
Description: eukaryotic LSU rRNA
Rfam family: Eukaryotic large subunit ribosomal RNA (bases 247-356)
Source: RNAcentral